Molecule: non-coding RNA, 280 nt
Organism: Paramuricea clavata
Lineage: Eukaryota; Metazoa; Cnidaria; Anthozoa; Malacalcyonacea; Plexauridae
Source: the annotation of a GenBank genome assembly
ACAGGAAGGAACCUAAGCUAAACUAACUUUAUUUAUACUGGAUAGCUCUAUAUCAGUUCUGAGCUGUUCUCCCUAGAAUUCCUGUAAGAGUUGUGCUCUUACGCCUUGCUAAAUCUGUACUAAACGUGCCCUAUCAAUAAUUAUCAUUGUCCAAAAUAUCAGACAGUUUAAUAUCGGCUGUCACCUGUUAUAUAUGAGUGACAUUGGAGCCUUGUCUUGUUACACAAAAUAAAUACAAAUUUCAUAUGGGUUGGCGUUGUAAGCGCGUUGCCAAUUAGGA